ACGUAGGGUGCAAGCGUUAAUCGGAAUUACUGGGCGUAAAGCGUGCGCAGGCUGUUUGGCAAGUCAGAUGUGAAAUCCCCGAGCUCAACUUGGGAACUGCGUUUGAAACUGCCAGACUAGAAUAGGUCAGAGGGGGGUAGAAUUCCACGUGUAGCAGUGAAAUGCGUAGAGAUGUGGAGGAAUACCAAUGGCGAAGGCAGCCCCCUGGGAUCAUAUUGACGCUCAUGCACGAAAGCGUGGGGAGCGAACAGG
RNAcentral lists this ribosomal RNA (252 nucleotides) under uncultured bacterium. Its description in RNAcentral is "partial 16S ribosomal RNA". It matches the Rfam family "Bacterial small subunit ribosomal RNA", at positions 525 to 776 of the family's 1533-position model. The record is from RNAcentral.